GGUGUGUGUGACCGGGUUUUGUGUUUUGUGCCGCAGUGCGUAAACGUGGGAGGAUACAGGACAGGAGACCUGGAACGUCCGUGCCGUGAGAGACCGGCCGGUCCUCCUGCAGUCCUCUCACACCUGCAGGGUCAGAACAGGUGAACAGACUGAGACGGCUGUUGGUGUGCAGUCCCUGACAGGAGCAGCGGAAGAGCCUUAAGGAAGCGGGGCUCUCCCAGAAGAGAGAGGCACGCAAACACUGCUGCUGUAAAGCUUCAGGUGAUGGGCUGCGACAAUUGCGUGUGCAGCCCUGAGCUCCUCUGCACUCAGCGGUGAGAAACGGGACCCGCCAGAGAUCUGUCAGAGCGCUCCGUCUCUGCUGAGCGCGGUACCGACAGCCGCGCACCGCUCCGCGCCACUCACCGCGCCGCGUCCACCCGCAGCUCCUGGAGGGCCGUCCGCAGGCUGCGCUCCUCCUCGUCCUCGUCGUCGUCGUCCUCGUCCUCGUCGUCGUCUGCUGCUGCUGCUGCUCCUCCUCGUCCUCGUGCCGCCUGUUUGCAAGCCAAGGACACGUGAAAGGAACGUCAGCGGGACUGAGGCGGAGCUGCACCCAGCCUGUGGUGGGCGACCCAAUAAAAGCCAACUGUUUCGUAAGCGUGA
Long non-coding RNA from Gallus gallus (chicken), 642 nucleotides. RefSeq lists it as uncharacterized. The transcript has 3 exons. The record is from RefSeq and is a predicted model, not a curated record. NCBI's taxonomy places the organism in Eukaryota, Metazoa, Chordata, Aves, Galliformes, Phasianidae.